Molecule: long non-coding RNA, 650 nt
Filed under: Coffea arabica (coffee)
Lineage: Eukaryota; Viridiplantae; Streptophyta; Magnoliopsida; Gentianales; Rubiaceae
Description: long non-coding RNA (CARA_LNC001979)
Source: RNAcentral
GUGACAAUGUGUUAAAAACAGGACCACAGGUGCAAUUUAGUUUCUUUUCUGAGGAUGAAUUGAAUUGCUGCUUUAACCAUAAUCCUUCAAUGACUAGAAAAGACAGAAAAAUGACUGUGUACCUGAUAGGGACCUUAUUUGCCUUUGCAUGUGCAUACUUGUGUGAGAGUUGCAUAAUAAUUGUACAAUAUGUUACAAACUUACAAUAGAAGAUGGACGUCUGACAUGUGAUGGAUUCAAGAAACUUACUCCGGGGCCAAAUAUCCGGUGGUCCCUAACACGCGCGUCGAAAUGAGACCAUUCAGCUUGUCUGAUCCUAUUUUCGCCAACCCAAAAUCAGAAACUUUGGCUCUGAAAUUUUGGUUCAAAAGAAUGUUACUGCAUUUGAAAUCACGGUGGAUGACUGAUGGGGUUGUGUAUUCAUGCAGGUAUUCAAGGGCUCUAGCACAAUCCAGUGCUAUUCUCAACCUUAUUCCCCAGUUCAAAGUCCUACCAAAUUGAGGAUUGGAAGAGUGAAGAAGCUGCUGCAGAGUUCCAGUGGGCAUGUAUUCGAAUAUUAGGAGCCUGUGAUGUUGAUCAGCACAAUAGCCAAGAAGCUCCACUAGGUAAGGUGAGUGCAAGCAGCUAAGUAAAUCCACCUGCCAAAGCAC